UGGCGCUUAUGUGUAGAACCGG
This 22-nucleotide microRNA is filed under the name Schmidtea mediterranea. RNAcentral's name for it is "sme-miR-2160-5p". Lineage: Eukaryota; Metazoa; Platyhelminthes; Tricladida; Dugesiidae. The record is from miRBase by way of RNAcentral.